CUUGUUUUUAUUAUUUUCAAGUUUACAGUUCAUGUUUUUCGCUAUUUUUUUUUUUUUUUUUUUUUAUCGAGGUCGCCUGUUUCCGUGUUCCGCUCGAAAUAUAAAUAAGUGCAUUUAUCUGCAUUUCUCGAUAAUGCAAAAAGGCCCCGUUAAAAAUUUAUCGGUCGGGUGAUGUUAGGAGUGUGUACGCAUUAUCGUGAGGAUCCUGAUGCGAUUCCCGAAAAAGGCUCCAACCUCUACAUGAUCGAUCGGCAAAGUCAGGUUUUUCGAUAUCUAUUAUAAGCAGAUUAGAUACGUUGCCGUACGACUGCUCGUUCAGAGGUUUUUUUUUCUUCUUUCUUUUUUUGCUUCAUAAAUUUUCCAGUUUUAUUAUCACACCGCUAGCUUUAUUUUACUCGGCAGCGGUAAUACGUUUUCGAUAUCGCAUUUUCUGAGUUAAAAAGUAAAAAAAAAAAAAAAAAUUGCAUCUUUCGAGUUAAAUCUAUUUUUGCUUGGCGUUAUAUGCACCAUGCCGAAGACAAAACAGGUAGAGCUGGUUAAAUUUAGGAUAUUAUAAAACACGUUUUCGAAGUGAGACUGUAAAGAAAAUUUCGUCAUUUCGAAGACAAAACGAAAAAAUAAGACAGGAAAAAGAAAAAAAAAAUUAAUAUGCAGGUCACUUCGCAUUAUGUUCAUUAACUCGACAGUUAAAGCAAUAAUUUUAUCUUCUGCGAAUAAUAAUUACUUGUAUCGUAAUUAGGUAUUUGUUUAUUUAGAGCUAUAAUUACGUAUUGCAGAUACAUUAUAUAUAAAUUGCAAAAGUAGGAAAUGCUAUUGAGGAGUUGUCAUGUUGAGAUCUCUUCCAAAUUCAACACCUGCCUCAUCUGGUGCCAGGUGAAUCGUCGAAGUGUAACGAAAAAAAGAAAAAUUUUUUUAUCAUUAGCUCUGAUUUGAAUCUACUUAAUAAUAAUAAUAAUAUUUCCACAUUCCACAGCUCCCUAUUACAAUUAUUGAAUUUUUAAAUACGUUCGAUAAUUUUUUUCGUAAGCAGAAAAUGUGUAAAAGAAUCGUGGACAUUAGCAAUGAUUAAAAACCAUCGACCCGCGAAAUUAAGGUUUAAGGAACAAUUUUUUAAAUUGUUUCUUACAAUUUGGGAUCGUUUAUUCGAAGAGGGUAAAGCAAAUUCGUCUCUUAAAUCAAGCGAGCAAAAGCGCAAUGUCUCUUUAUAACGCGCCGUUUCUUUUCGACAUUUCCAUUCUGAAUCUUUUUUCUUCUUCUUCUUCCCCGCUGCCCUCCCUGCCAAGGUGCACAUGGCAGUACGAAUCGAUCGAAGGCCAGUAAUGGAGAUAGAUGGAAGCCGGCUUCGGCUGAGUUAUGGCGACUCCUUCCUCCGUCUUUCUGUAAACAACCAUGAAUUGGAUCUGCGAUCGCACACAUUAUCGGUUGCCAGGGAUGGAAGGCAGGAUGGGAGACAGACCAGACCGGUUUAAAACGUAUAUCCCACUUCGUCCCUCCUUCGUGCAUGCGUUGCCAAGUGGUGUGCAUUGUUUCGUCUGAAUGUCGGUUCUGUAUGUUUUUGUCCUAAAUUUCGAUUUUUCUAAGCACCAACACGUCAAUAUCAGAAAUCGAAGAGAUAGCUUAUCUUCUAGGUUAAGAAAAAAAGAAAGGAAAAAAAAAGAAUGUAGCCCAUGUUUACUGAAAGAAAACUCGAUUCUCUUUGGGAGGUUGGGUUUCUCACCACACUUUCUUUUUAGUAAUAGUCUCGAGGACCCCGAGAGGAAAAUGCCGUAUUUGGUAAUCUUUCCGAUUUUCGCAUAUUCGUCUUCCGAUUAUCCGUAACUGCAGAAUAUAAAGCGUUUAUUUCCGAUGUAGUGCAUUCUGGCGAGACCAAAAAAGCCUUCAAUUUCUGGCCGACGCUGUAAUGGCCAAAAAUUGCGCUCCUUCUGACGCCAAACCUGUUUUCGUUGUACCUGUAAAACCCGUUUGUGACGAACAGGAUUUUGUCUUGUCUCGCAGCGUACAUCUCUCCAAUAGUUUUAUUUUUCGAAGAAGAAACAAAAACUAAUACGGAGCCAGUCACGUCCACUAGAAAGCUAUAGGUUCGUCACCAAACGCGGAAGUGCGUAAGAUCACUACAAUUAAAACAUAUUUUACCACUCGCCAUAUCGGAGAGCGUUCUCUCUCUUUCGCUGUAUUUUUCUCUCCCCUCUUUUUUUUUUGCUAUUUUUUUUUAUCGCAGACCCUGCCAUACUUGUUCAGCCAA
This 2242-nucleotide long non-coding RNA is filed under the name Androctonus crassicauda. Lineage: Eukaryota; Metazoa; Arthropoda; Arachnida; Scorpiones; Buthidae. The record is from RNAcentral.